RNAcentral lists this ribosomal RNA (211 nucleotides) under uncultured bacterium. Its description in RNAcentral is "partial 16S ribosomal RNA". It matches the Rfam family "Bacterial small subunit ribosomal RNA", at positions 1290 to 1500 of the family's 1533-position model. The record is from RNAcentral.
AGUUCGGAUCGCAGGCUGCAACCCGCCUGCGUGAAGUUGGAAUCGCUAGUAAUCGCGGAUCAGCAUGCCGCGGUGAAUACGUUCCCGGGCCUUGUACACACCGCCCGUCACACCAUGAGAGUCGGGAACACCCGAAGUCCGUAGCCUAACCGCAAGGGGGGCGCGGCCGAAGGUGGGUUCGAUAAUUGGGGUGAAGUCGUAACAAGGUAAC